GUGUAAACGUACAGCAGGACGCAUGCAGGACGAACAAGAAAGAAGGAGAGGAAACACUAAAGUGGAGGGUGUGUUGAAAAGGAUCAAAGGUUUGCUUGUCAAAUGUCCACAAAAGGUUGGAUAAGACAGACGCGUGGAUUGGACGGAACGGGGUGCAACAAAAGAAAUCACAUUCUGACUGGGAGUCUGUGAACUAUGGAGGAGAGGAAGAAGAAAGAGAAUGAAGAUGAGAAGCAGAAAAGGAAGCUGGAGGAGGAAAGAGAAGACAUGGUUUCGGUGGAGAGACGCGAACCACAGAUGGAGCUGCAGGCGUCCAACACUGAGGAUGACGAGGAAGAAGGAAGCACUGCUCUUAUCACAGCCUGCCGUAAGGGCUUUACUGAGGUGGCGCAGCAGCUACUGAGGACUGGGGCUGAUCUAACACUGUGCAACCACAGACAGCAGACAGCGCUGCACGUCAGCUCACCUGAGCUCCAGGGGAAACUGGUGAGGUGGAUGUCAAGGCCUCAUCUUCCCCUUCAGGCACAGCUGCUGCAGGCUGCCUGGCAGGGAGACCUGCACUCUGUUCAGCACCUGUUGACUCACACCGACAGUGUGGAUGUGAAUAUUCCAAACGGCGACGGUGUGACAGCUGUGAUGCUCGCCGUCAGGGACAUUGACCUUUUUGAGGGCAUAGCCACACAGUUGCCAUGGGAGCACAGACCUGUGGAAGUGAUGAAGGAACUGCUGGGACUUUCAGCUGAUCUUCAGCCACGAGACCACAACGGCUGCUCUGCUCUCCACUACGCUGCUCACAUCAACAGCUGUCUGACGGAGGAGAUCAUUCAUAUUCUGGUGGAGGCUCUAAAUCACACAGUGGAGUAGCAGUAUUAAGUAGAAGAAAACGGACAUACACACAUAAAGUACAAGCAUCCCAAGAUUGUACUUCUGUGCAGUCCUUCAGUAAAUAGUUACUUUCUGCACCUGGCAGACAGAUAAAGUCAGCAAUUAGUUUUGUACACAGUGGAGAAUUCACCUGCUAAAGAUCCAGAUAUUUCCCUCAAGUGCUGGUGGAUACCAAGAACGGAUCUGAAAGG
Long non-coding RNA from Amphiprion ocellaris (clown anemonefish), 1076 nucleotides. NCBI's taxonomy places the organism in Eukaryota, Metazoa, Chordata, Actinopteri, Pomacentridae. The record is from Ensembl.